UCAUCAAACCGCCCCCCAGCCUCCACCCCACGUAGCCCUCACGUAGCCCUCACCUCGCCCACUCGCACUACUUCUUUCAGUGACCCGAGCCACCAUUAUCCUUCCCAGCGCUGCAUUUACGCUGCACUGGGGUCAAAUUACAUGAGCGAAGGAUGAACAUUUUAGAAAAAACUUAGUAACUACCCAUUUCCUACAAUGAAAGGACAUUCAAAGCUCACCUUGACCUCUUCCCAGGACCCCGCGGCCGGGGUCAGCAGACAGGCCGGCCCGAGGCUGCCCAGGACCCGGUCCCACAGAUGCUUCCCCUUGGGGCCCGAAUCCCCUGUGGCCUCCCUCCUGUCCACCCCCAGGCUGGCUCCCCCCUCCCCCGGCCCUCCUGCCGGGAUUUCUGGGCCAAGGGUCAGCCAAGGGCAGGGUGGGGUGUGCGGGGUCGGGAGCUACUCCACUCAUGCCAGCUGCUCCCACCACCCCCUGACUCCCUCCCUGGGGNUGGGCAGAGGGGGUUGGAGGGCCCUGCUGCCCAGAGGGAGCCCAGGGCCCCUCCCAGGCCGCCGGCGCCCGCCCCGCUGGUUCUGGGACCUCCGCCCUGAGCUUGCCACGCUGUGCCUGCUUCCUGCCAGGCCUCCUGCCAGCCGGCUGGGCGGGGACAACAGAACGUCCCUCUCGGGGUGGGCUGCAGGUCCGCGAGGCAGCCCCGCCUCCUGCUUCUGUGUCUCACUUCACAGCACCUUGCCCCACCUGGAGGAAAAGUUUCAGUGAGUCCAGGAAUUGUUUUGCAAUGAGGUAGAGGAGCAGCUGAGCUUUCCGGGCAGGCUGGGACACACCCAGGAAGGCCGCAGGGCCUGUGGAAGGCUGUCUCAGCGAGACUCUACUCCAAGGCCCCGGAAGGCCUUGCGGAAAUGCCCCGGCCAGCAUUACAACAUUACGCAUUACAGCAUUACAGCAGAGUAACAAAAACCCAGGAGGCAAGCCCACAUCCCCGCCCCUCUCGGGCACAGCUGGGCUCUCCUCGCCUGUUGUUACCUCCUUGGCUGUGCUGCAGAAAUGAACGUCAAGAGCACGCAGGGUGAGUUAGGCCAGUGAUUUAUUCAGUAGGGAGGGAAGAGAAAUGGAAGAAAAUACUAGAGCAGGGGUCCCAGGUAGAGACGAAGGGGGUGAAAAGGGAUGAAGAGGGCUGAUGUACAGACUACAACUCCGCAUUACAGAUCAUGAAUUCCCAGGGUUACUUGCGAGGCCACAUGGCAGAGGAAACUUGGCGAGAGCGGCAGGCAAGGACAGGGGCGAGUGCAGAGGCAGGAGAGCCGGGCGAGGGCGCGCUCGGGCCUGGGCCUGGCUCUCCAGCUGCUCAUUGCUCCCCCUGUGCUAAGGGCAGGGGAGGCUCCCGCUGCUCACUGUCUUGACUGAUCACCCACCCGUCACUCCCGCAGCCAGGGCCCACGAUGAAGUCCCUAGGGAGCACCCGGGCUUUUCCUGGCUCCCAGGAGGAAGUCUGGGUUCUGGGGAGCAGAAUCCCGGGGGCGGGGGUCCUCAGCAGCCAUCUUGGGGGCUCCAGAUGUCCCCAUGGACUCUGCCGGGUUCCAGAUCCGCCUGUUCGCUGUCUUGCUGGCUGCUUCAUCCCCCUCACAGAGCUCUACGCCUGUAACCUCACAGCGGCGCAGAGGGAGGGUGACCUUUCUUCUGUAGCUGCUUCCCGCUGGCUAGGGGCUCGAGACCCUGCCUGAAAGGCGCAGAGCUCCUUGCUGCUCUACCUCGCCUGGAGGAAGAGGGACCUGGCAUCCGGUAGGAAGCUGGGGGAAGCCCCCGUGUGGCUCACAAGAUGCUGGUCCUGGAAGAAAUCAGUUCAAUUAGAAUUUUGAGAAUACACGUCUCCACUAAGAGGACACGGGCCACAGGCGUAGAAAAGGCCAGGGGUCUAUAAAGGCCGCAUUUCCUUGACAUCGGUGGUUUAUUUUGCAGGUUUUGAACACUGUCUAGGACUGUUUUAGAGUUACUUACAUAGAGAUGACAUUUUUCCUUAAGGAGAGGACAUUCCCUUCCCUGGGCUGCAGUCAGCACGUCAAGGGCCUGCGACUUGGUGUCAGCACAGCACCAGAGUCUGCUUGCUGUUCCAGCGCUCCUGAGGCGCGGCUGGUUUCAUCUGUGCUGCUAGUUCUUUCCAGGGAGCAGUUGAAAUAGACAGUGGGGUUUGGUAGAGAUUGCCAGCCCAGUGUUCAAUGGUGCUGGUGAUGCUUACAGCAGCUUAGAGGGGGAUGAGAAGGGACAUUGGCUUUUAAAAAGGAAACAGACAAGGGUUUUUUAAAAGGCGACGUUUGGUUUGUUCUCCCUCUAGCAAUAGGCAUUUGGGCUAGAGUUAGAGGGAACAGCUGACUUUGACAC
Molecule: long non-coding RNA, 2376 nt
Organism: Dasypus novemcinctus (nine-banded armadillo)
Lineage: Eukaryota; Metazoa; Chordata; Mammalia; Cingulata; Dasypodidae
Source: Ensembl